GGGACCCCCGAUGAUUUGGGCCCGGCCGGGGGGCCCGGGGGCCCCAACACCAGGCGGGUUGGGGAAAGACGCUGAACAGCAUGCCGCCGAAUACCGCGGCGCAAUGGCUUCAAAGAUUGGUGAUUCACUGAAUUCUGCAAUUCACAUUACUUAUCGCUUUCGUGCUUCUUCAUCGAUGCCAGAACCAAGGAUCCGUGUGAAAGUUUGAUUAUUUUCUUUCAGCUCAGAGAUACUGAAAAAAUAAGAGUUUUGAACCUCCGGCGGGCGUGCCCGCCGAAGCAACGACAGAGGUUAUGUUCACAGGGUUGGAGUUUUUCAACUCAGUAAUGAUCCUUGAGACCUGCGGAGGGAUCAUUACUGAGUUGAAAAACUCCAACCCCUGUGAACAUAACGUCUGUCGUUGCUUCGGCGGGCACGCCCGCCGGAGGUUCAAAACUCUUAUUUUUUCCAGUAUCUCUGAGCCUGAAAGACAAAUAAUCAAAACUUUCAACAACGGAUCUCUUGGUUCUGGCAUCGAUGAAGAACGCAGCGAAAUGCGAUAAGGAGGGUGGAGGGGAGAAUUGAGUGUAUCAUAGGAUCUCUGACCGCACAUUGCGGCGGGCGGUAUUCGGGUGGGCAUGCCUGUUGGAGCGUCAUUUCAUCCCUCAAGCCUCGGUUUGGCGUUGGGGCGCGCGGUCCUUCCGCGGCCCGGGGCCCCCAAGUUCAUCGGCGGGCUCGUCGGUACACUGAGCGCAGUAAAACGCGGUAAAACGCGAACCUCGUUCGGAUCGUCCCGGCGUGCUCCAGCCGCUAAACCCCCCAAUUUUUAAAGGUUGACCUCGGAUCAGGUAGGAAUACCCGCUGAACUUAAGCAUAUCAAUAAGUCGGAGGAAACUGAGUUGAAAAACUCCAACCCUGUGAACAUAAACUCUGUCGUUGCUUCGGCGGGCACGCCCGCCGGAGGUUCAAAACUCUUAUUUUUUCCAGUAUCUCUGAGCCUGAAAGACAAAUAAUCAAAACUUUCAACAACGGAUCUCUUGGUUCUGGCAUCGAUGAAGAACGCACGAAAUGCGAUAAGUAAUGUGAAUUGCAGAAAUCAUGAAUCAUCAAUCUUUGAAAGCACAUUGCGUGCGGUAUUCGCGGGCAUGACUGUUCAGACGUCAUUCACUCAUACCUCGCUUGUGGUUGGGGGGGCCGGGACCUCUCCGGUCGGGGCCCAGUCAUCGACGGUCGUCGGUACACUGAUGCAGUAAACCAGCGAAAAACGAACUACUUCUGAUAUGUCUCGCAGGGUCUACCCUAACGCUAUUAUUUUGCUGCUCCACGAGUAGAUACGCCUAACUAAUCCAUCAUAGAGGAGGAAGAA
This 1345-nucleotide unclassified non-coding RNA is filed under the name Pyricularia oryzae. Its description in RNAcentral is "sequence contains 5.8S rRNA gene, ITS2". The stretch from base 997 to 1142 matches the Rfam family "5.8S ribosomal RNA". Lineage: Eukaryota; Fungi; Ascomycota; Sordariomycetes; Magnaporthales; Pyriculariaceae. The record is from RNAcentral.